Molecule: transfer RNA, 88 nt
Filed under: Candidatus Omnitrophota bacterium
Lineage: Bacteria; Pseudomonadati; Candidatus Omnitrophota
Description: Candidatus Omnitrophica bacterium tRNA-Ser
Rfam family: tRNA
About the family: Transfer RNA (tRNA) molecules are approximately 80 nucleotides in length. Their secondary structure includes four short double-helical elements and three loops (D, anti-codon, and T loops).
Source: RNAcentral
GGUGGGGUGGCUGAGUGGCUGAAAGCGGCAGUCUUGAAAACUGUUGUGGGGAAUUUCUCCACCGUGAGUUCAAAUCUCACCCCCACCG